UGUCUGCUCCACCUGCGGCAAGAGCUUUGCCUUGUUGUCGGGGCUGCGGGCUCACGGGCCGGUGCACAGCAGUGAGCGGCCCUUCACCUGCUCCGACUGCGGCAAAGGCUUCAAGUCGUCCAGGGAACUGAAGGUGCACGGGCACGUGCACACCAGCGAGCGCCCCUACACCUGUAGCGACUGCGGCAAGGGCUUCACCCACUCUGCCAGCCUGCUGG
This is a long non-coding RNA of Amblyraja radiata (thorny skate), 218 nucleotides long. RefSeq lists it as uncharacterized. Lineage: Eukaryota; Metazoa; Chordata; Chondrichthyes; Rajiformes; Rajidae. The record is from RefSeq and is a predicted model, not a curated record. The transcript is spliced from 3 exons.